GGAUGUGAGGGUGAUCUGGCUGUGACAUCUGUCACCCCAUUGAUCUCCAGGGUUGAUUCGGCUGAUCUGGCUGGCUAAGUGGGUGUCCCCUUCCUCUCUCACUGCUCCAUGUGCGUCCCUCCCAAAGCUGCGCACUCGGUCGAAGAGGACGACCUUCCCCGAUAGAGGAGAGGACCGUUCUUCAGUCAAGUGCUUAGUCAUGAAGUGCUAGAACCUCCAAACAAGCUCUCAAGAAAAGUGCUUGUCCUAUAAAUAAAAAUGGAAACUGUAGUGCUAUAAAACCUCAUCAACUUUUCUAG
This 299-nucleotide small nuclear RNA is filed under the name Pteropus vampyrus (large flying fox). Its description in RNAcentral is "7SK RNA (ENSPVAG00000026629.1)". It matches the Rfam family "7SK RNA". Rfam says of the family: 7SK was discovered as an abundant small nuclear RNA in the mid-70s but a possible function has only recently been suggested. The record is from RNAcentral. Lineage: Eukaryota; Metazoa; Chordata; Mammalia; Chiroptera; Pteropodidae.